This 465-nucleotide ribosomal RNA is filed under the name Vreelandella stevensii. RNAcentral describes it as "partial 16S ribosomal RNA". It matches the Rfam family "Bacterial small subunit ribosomal RNA", at positions 338 to 795 of the family's 1533-position model. Lineage: Bacteria; Pseudomonadati; Pseudomonadota; Gammaproteobacteria; Oceanospirillales; Halomonadaceae. The record is from RNAcentral.
CCUACGGGUGGCAGCAGUGGGGAAUAUUGGACAAUGGGCGAAAGCCUGAUCCAGCCAUGCCGCGUGUGUGAAGAAGGCCUUCGGGUUGUAAAGCACUUUCAGUUGGGAAGAAAGCCUUGGGGCUAAUACCCUCGAGGAAGGACAUCACCCACAGAAGAAGCACCGGCUAACUCCGUGCCAGCAGCCGCGGUAAUACGGAGGGUGCGAGCGUUAAUCGGAAUUACUGGGCGUAAAGCGCGCGUAGGCGGUCUGAUAAGCCGGUUGUGAAAGCCCCGGGCUCAACCUGGGAACGGCAUCCGGAACUGUCAGGCUAGAGUGCAGGAGAGGAAGGUAGAAUUCCCGGUGUAGCGGUGAAAUGCGUAGAGAGCGGGAGGAAUACCAGUGGCGAAGGCGGCCUUCUGGACUGAAACUGACGCUGAGGUGCGAAAGCGUGGGUAGCAAACAGGAUUAGAUACCCCUGUAGUC